RNAcentral lists this transfer RNA (85 nucleotides) under Felis catus (domestic cat). It matches the Rfam family "tRNA". From Rfam's summary of the family: Transfer RNA (tRNA) molecules are approximately 80 nucleotides in length. Their secondary structure includes four short double-helical elements and three loops (D, anti-codon, and T loops). Lineage: Eukaryota; Metazoa; Chordata; Mammalia; Carnivora; Felidae. The record is from Rfam by way of RNAcentral.
ACCUGGGUGGCUCAGUCGGUUGAGCGUCUGACUUCAGCUCAGGUCAUGAUCUCACGGUUUGUGGGUUCGAGCCCCAUGUUGGGCU